CCCCCGGGGGUCCCGGGCGCUGUGUGCCUCCAGCAAGGCUCCUAGGAGGAGCUCCUGCCUGCUUCCGGAAGGGAGACUGGGUUGGCCGCUGUGGGGCCAGACGCAGGGGACCAGGAAUGAGCUCUGGGAAUGGUGACAGACUGACCGCUGACCCGGCCUGACCCUGGGUUCUGCCGGCGACUGGAGCCGACAACCACCACCCCACGUGGGGACCACCGAGGCUGCCCUCGGUCUGUAGUUCUCAUGGGACUCCCCUUGACAGAACCCCCCACCCAGGUCUCUGGUCGCUGGUCCAUGAAUAACAACACCUCUAAAAAACUUCCUAUGUAGACACUUACUUAUUUGAAAGAGAGAGAGCGCGCCAGAGAGACAGAUCUCUCAGCUGGCUAGCUCCCCCAGAUAGCUGAAGUGGCCAGCGCUGGGCCAGGCCAAAGCCAGGAGCCAGGAGCUAGAUCCAGAUCCCCGAUGUGGGUGCAGGGGCCCCAGCGCUUGGCCUAUCCUCCCCUGCUUUCCCAGGCCAUAGCAGAGAGCUGCACUGGAAGUGGAGCAGCCAGGACUCGAACCAGCACCCAUGUGGUAUGCGAGCAGCUUUACCUGCUACAGGACAGUACCUGCUGGGUUACAGCCCUACUGAUGGUUGGGUUACAGCCCUACUGAUGGUUGGGUUACAGCCCUACUGAUGGUUGGGUUACAGCCCUACUGACGGUUCCUUGAACGCAAGCGUGCUAAGGCACACAGCUCUUCAAGUUCUCCCCCGAUCUCCCCCUGCCCCCAAGAAUGUGUGGGUCCUCUGCCAGAAGCCGGUGGCUUUGGUGGGGUUGCACACGGCCACAGGGGGCUGCUGUGUCUUCGCCCCCUCAUCCCUGCUGGCAGAGCCCGCCUGCUCCCAGCGUCCACCCGACGUGAGGCUCUGGGAAGUUGCCCAAGACACGGCGUCACACCGGAAAGACAGGGUCUGGACCAUUGGCCAGGCCUGCCCCUGCCCCCACCUGGAGUUCUCUUAGGAGACAAUAGAGCCUUUGUUUGCGCCAGGUGGGUGGGUUGGCGCUGUCACCCACAGGUGUCAGCGUCCUAACUUGAAGACUGGGGAAAGACAUCAGCACUGGCUCCAUGGAAGGAAGCGGAAGGCCAAGGCCGGGCACCGACAGAUGGGGAGUGGGCCGCGUUUCUCUGUAACCCAGAACUUGUGAUCAGUGUGAACUCCCAAACGUGGUCUCCCAGCCGGCAUGGACAGCAGCGCUGCCAGCCCCCGAGGCUGCUGGCUUGUGUCCCCUCUGACACUGGAGCCAUGUCUCUUCAAAGUCCUUCCUGGG
Molecule: long non-coding RNA, 1313 nt
Organism: Lepus europaeus (European hare)
Lineage: Eukaryota; Metazoa; Chordata; Mammalia; Lagomorpha; Leporidae
Exons: 3
Source: RefSeq, a predicted model, not a curated record